UACGUAGGGUGCAAGCGUUAAUCGGAAUUACUGGGCGUAAAGCGUGCGCAGGCGGUUGUGCAAGACAGAUGUGAAAUCCCCGGGCUUAACCUGGGAAUUGCAUUUGUGACUGUACGGCUAGAGUGUGUCAGAGGGGGUAGGAAUUCCACGUGUAGCAGUGAAAUGCGUAGAGAUGUGGAGGAAUACCGAUGGCGAAGGCAGCCCCUGGGAUAACACUGACGCUCAUGCACGAAAGCGUGGGGAGCAAACAGG
This 252-nucleotide ribosomal RNA is filed under the name uncultured bacterium. RNAcentral's name for it is "partial 16S ribosomal RNA". It matches the Rfam family "Bacterial small subunit ribosomal RNA", at positions 524 to 776 of the family's 1533-position model. The record is from RNAcentral.